This 680-nucleotide ribosomal RNA is filed under the name Corynebacterium variabile. RNAcentral describes it as "bacterial SSU rRNA". It matches the Rfam family "Bacterial small subunit ribosomal RNA", at positions 29 to 723 of the family's 1533-position model. Lineage: Bacteria; Bacillati; Actinomycetota; Actinomycetes; Mycobacteriales; Corynebacteriaceae. The record is from RNAcentral.
ACGAACGCUGGCGGCGUGCUUAACACAUGCAAGUCGAACGGAAAGGCCCUGCUUGCAGGGUACUCGAGUGGCGAACGGGUGAGUAACACGUGGGUGAUCUGCCCUGCACUUCGGGAUAAGCCUGGGAAACUGGGUCUAAUACCGGAUAGGACCAUCGUUUAGUGUCGGUGGUGGAAAGUUUUUCGGUGCAGGAUGAGCUCGCGGCCUAUCAGCUUGUUGGUGGGGUAAUGGCCUACCAAGGCGUCGACGGGUAGCCGGCCUGAGAGGGUGGACGGCCACAUUGGGACUGAGACACGGCCCAGACUCCUACGGGAGGCAGCAGUGGGGAAUAUUGCACAAUGGGCGCAAGCCUGAUGCAGCGACGCCGCGUGGGGGAUGAAGGCCUUCGGGUUGUAAACUCCUUUCAACCAUGACGAAGCAUUAUGUGACGGUAGUGGUAGAAGAAGCACCGGCUAACUACGUGCCAGCAGCCGCGGUAAUACGUAGGGUGCGAGCGUUGUCCGGAAUUACUGGGCGUAAAGAGCUCGUAGGUGGUUUGUCGCGUCGUCUGUGAAAUUCCGGGGCUUAACUCCGGGCGUGCAGGCGAUACGGGCAUAACUUGAGUGCUGUAGGGGAGACUGGAAUUCCUGGUGUAGCGGUGAAAUGCGCAGAUAUCAGGAGGAACACCGAUGGCGAAGGCA